UACGAAGGGUGCAACCGUUGUCCGGAAUUACUGGGCGUAAAGCGCACGUAGUCGGCUUUGCAAGUCGGGUGUGAAAUCCCCGGGCUCAACCUGGGAACUGCAUCCGAGACUGCAUUGCUAGAGUAUGGGAGAGGGAAGCGGAAUUUCUGGUGUAGCAGUGAAAUGCGUAGAUAUCAGAAGGAACAUCAGUGGCGAAGGCGGCUUCCUGGACCAAUACUGACGAUCAGGUGCGAAAGCGUGGGGAGCAAACAGG
Molecule: ribosomal RNA, 253 nt
Filed under: uncultured bacterium
Lineage: Bacteria
Description: partial 16S ribosomal RNA
Rfam family: Bacterial small subunit ribosomal RNA
Source: RNAcentral